GACGAACGCUGGCGGCGUGCUUAACACAUGCAAGUCGAACGGAAAGGCCCUGCUUUUGUGGGGUGCUCGAGUGGCGAACGGGUGAGUAACACGUGAGUAACCUGCCCUUGACUUUGGGAUAACUUCAGGAAACUGGGGCUAAUACCGGAUAGGAGCUACUGCUGCAUGGUGGGGGUUGGAAAGAUUCGGCGGUUGGGGAUGGACUCGCGGCUUAUCAGCUUGUUGGUGGGGUAGUGGCUUACCAAGGCUUUGACGGGUAGCCGGCCUGAGAGGGUGACCGGCCACAAGGGGACUGAGAGACGGCGCAGACGCGUACGGGAGGCAGCAGUGGGGAAUAUUGCACAAUGGGCGGAAGCCUGAUGCAGCAACGCCGCGUGCGGGAUGACGGCUUUCGGGUUGUAAACCGCUUUCGCCUGUGACGAAGAGGGAGUGACGGUAAUGGGUAAAGAAGCACCGGCUAACUACGUG
RNAcentral lists this ribosomal RNA (468 nucleotides) under uncultured bacterium. RNAcentral describes it as "partial 16S ribosomal RNA". It matches the Rfam family "Bacterial small subunit ribosomal RNA", at positions 28 to 507 of the family's 1533-position model. The record is from RNAcentral.